Molecule: long non-coding RNA, 887 nt
Organism: Podarcis raffonei (Aeolian wall lizard)
Lineage: Eukaryota; Metazoa; Chordata; Lepidosauria; Squamata; Lacertidae
Exons: 3
Source: RefSeq, a predicted model, not a curated record
CACGUGAUGCCUCCCGAGGCCGCCGCUGCGGGCAACUUCUCCACAGAGAAGAGCCGUCAGCGCCCACUUUUUGGUCCCCGUCGUCCCCACAUCCCGUCUCUGCCGACGUGGUUGAAGAGGAAUGUUAAAAAUGAUUCACGGAUUUAUCAAAACUCCCAAAAAUCUUAACUUCGUGCCACUGCCCAUUUAAUCCAGUGGAGGAAUCUGAUACUUGGUGCUUACAAACUCUACAGCCUCUGAUGAUUAUAGAAGCAGAAGAGAGCAGAGUAAACACUGUCAGGUAUGACUGGAAAUAUCACCUGUCUGAAAUCCUGGAGGAGAGAACCAUGUAUGCCCUCGUGAGUUCUUUGGAGGAAAUGUAAUAAUUAAACAUAUGGUUACAAAUGAGUCUGUUUCUCCCCAAUGCAUGUACUCAGGUAUGUUAGAAUAUGCACAUAUUGUUCCUGAAGGACACUGUGUCACUGGUGUACCUUAAGCACAAUUGUUGAAAACAGCAUGGGGCUACUGUCAGUCAGAAGCACUAUUGUUGCUUCAUGCGUCCCACUGACGCAUUCAGAAGAGAUUCUGGCUUUGAGCCCUGCUGGCAUUGUGAUUGUCUACAACAUCAGCAGUUUGGAGCAACGUGGAGUAGUGUUGUCAAGUAAUACAUUGCUCUAGUUCAUGGUGGACAACCUGCAACCUGGGAGAUGCAUGCAGCUCCCAAUCUCAUUUUAUGUAGCCCAACACCUCCUGAAGCCACCGGUUCUUCCCUCCCAUCAGACUUCUUCCCUUAUUAUUUCUUUUAAAGUGCCCCCCUUACUUGUGUGGUUGCAGAACAAUUGAAAGGGGUAGGAUUAAAUCUGAUAAAAAAUAACUUUAUUUUCAAAAACUUCGUUCUUAGCUGUAUG